CCUACGGGUGGCAGCAGUAGGGAAUAUUGGGCAAUGGAGGCAACUCUGACCCAGCCAUGCCGCGUGCAGGAUGAAGGCGUCAGCGUUGUAAACUGCUUUUAUUGGUGAAGCGGUAGCCAAGGAAUAAGCACCGGCUAACUCCGUGCCAGCAGCCGCGGUAAUACGGAGGGUGCAAGCGUUGUCCGGAUUUAUUGGGUUUAAAGGGUGCGUAGGUGGUUUUUUAAGUCUGGUUUGAAAGCAGGUGGCUUAACCAUCUGAUGUGGCUGGAAACUGAAGAACUUGAAUUGGUUGGCGGUAGCCGGAACGGGUCAUGUAGCGGUGAAAUGCAUAGAUAUGACCCAGAACACCGAUUGCGAAGGCAGGCUACUACGACGAUUGACACUGAGGCACGAGAGCAUGGGUAGCGAACAGGAUUAGAUACCCUUGUAGUC
RNAcentral lists this ribosomal RNA (431 nucleotides) under uncultured bacterium. Its description in RNAcentral is "partial 16S ribosomal RNA". It matches the Rfam family "Bacterial small subunit ribosomal RNA", at positions 338 to 795 of the family's 1533-position model. The record is from RNAcentral.